UUAAAAGGUCAAGCUACAAAGGGCGUAUGGUGAAUGCCUUGGCAUCAGGAGCCGAUGAAGGACGCGAUAAGCUGCGAUAAGCUUCGGGUAGACGCACAUAGUCAGAGAUCCGAAGAUUUCCGAAUGAGGAAACUCACAUGGGAAACCCCAUGUAUCAUAAAGUGAAUAAAUAGCUUUAUGAAGGUAUACCCAGGGAACUGAAACAUCUAAGUACCUGGAGGAAGAGAAAGAAAAAUCGAUUUUCUUAGUAGCGGCGAGCGAAAAGGAAAGAGCCCAAACCAGAAAUUUAUUUCUGGGGUUGCGGACAGAACAUAACGAGAAAUCAUAGUUAAUUGAACACAACUGGAAAGUUGGACCACAGUGGGUAA
Molecule: ribosomal RNA, 368 nt
Filed under: Clostridium beijerinckii
Lineage: Bacteria; Bacillati; Bacillota; Clostridia; Eubacteriales; Clostridiaceae
Description: bacterial LSU rRNA
Rfam family: Bacterial large subunit ribosomal RNA
Source: RNAcentral